UCAAUCAGUGCCAUCGUAUUAUUUGACGAC
RNAcentral lists this non-coding RNA (30 nucleotides) under Bombyx mori (domestic silkworm). Lineage: Eukaryota; Metazoa; Arthropoda; Insecta; Lepidoptera; Bombycidae. The record is from RNAcentral.